This is a long non-coding RNA of Canis lupus familiaris (dog), 5088 nucleotides long. RefSeq lists it as uncharacterized. NCBI's taxonomy places the organism in Eukaryota, Metazoa, Chordata, Mammalia, Carnivora, Canidae. The record is from RefSeq and is a predicted model, not a curated record. The transcript has 2 exons.
ACGACAGCUCCCUUUUCUUCAUCUUCAUCUGAGUCCUCGUUGGGCCUCUUGACCGCCUUGGUGAGUACCGCGUUGCUCUCCACCGGGCCGUUCCCCUCCACGGCCAGCUCCGGGGCGCCGCCCGUAAUGAUCCUCACAGCCUCCUCCACAGCUGCGCAAACCACACAGAAAGGACUGCUGGGGGAGGCUGGCUGCACGCACUAUCAGGGACACUUGCUUUCAGAGCCUACGACUGGCAGAGCAAGGGAGGGCAGUAGUGAUGCUACAGAAUUAAAGGAAAAGACGCAAGCUGUUCUUACUACUCUCAGAAGCCAAGUCCCUAGGAGCCUUCACACGCAUAGAAAUGAUGGGCUUUUGUGGUGGUUACUCAGUGGCAUUAGAAUGUGAACAAGCCUCUCUGGACUAAGGAGGGUUUGAUUGCCCUGUGGCCUCACUGCACUCCUGCAAGAUAGCUGGAUCUGGAAACUUCAGUGGCAAAGAAUAACAGACCAUGUGAAUUUGGCCCUGAAGCAGAGCUUUCGUGACUUACUAUUUGGUAUCUUGCAUCUUCGGAAAAUUUCCAUCAGUUCAUCCACUUGCACAAAAGGACCCUAUUUUGAGACAAAUAAAAAUCCCUAAUAAUCUGACAAGUUAAAACCACACUACUUGACAUUUUCCAUGAGAUGAGAAAAAGCACAUAAUUACUGUAAGCCACAGAGCAAGUAUAUAACAGUGAACAAACCUGGAAACAGAUGGGAGGCGGGAGAAGUUUCAUUAAGACAACGGCCGCAGGUGGCACUGGGAACACGCCCCCGGGAACCGGGUGUAGGCCUGGCGCUGUGACACAAGGAGGGGAGGAAUCAGACAGGAUGGAAGACUCUCUACAGAGGUAAAAUAAGUCAGAAGUAAUUUAUGUCUAGAGUUCCAGAUCUGUUGCUUUCUUGACAUUUUAAAUUGCUCUUAGUGCUUUGCAUGUUUGACCAACUAAAGUGGAUGAGACAGAGCCAUCUCACCCCUGUGGCCACUGGGAAGCAGAAAGUAAACAAGGGACUUUGGGGAAGACAGCCAGGGGCUGAACUCCAGUCCGUUUCUGUCAGAGACCAUUUCUAAGCCGCCUAAAUCAUGUGUUCAGCAAUCCUGUUUUAAGGUCGGUUAUUCAACAGCAUGUUUAACCAUAAGGGCCUCGUUCAAAUAGGAUCUGGAGGGGCUACUACCCGUUAGUAAGUGUAAAUAAUACCAAACAGCAUCACCGAGGUACACUGCCAGUCGUACAGGUAAUUUGUAUGUAGCAGCAUUUCUGAAGACUGCCUAGCGUCACUGCCAAAGCGCGUUACUGGAAUCCGGAUCACUGAGGGUUUUUUCGUUUUUUUAAAGACAUUCUUAACUCAUCUUGCUUCAUAGAUUACAGCUAAGUCACUUGUAGUGACCCAGAGUCUAAUAAUUAACCUGCAAUGGAAAGGUCACAUCACUCCCCCCCCACCUCUGGAUUUAAAUCAACAAACAGAGGUCUCAGUACUGGAUCUAAAGUCAUGGCUUACGUGCUAAAUGUCGUGGCUGAAAUGGAAUCAUCUGCUGAGUGUCUGGUUUAGGGUAUUCUGGUUUUCUAUCCACUUCAUCUUUCAGAACAGGCACUAUAGAAGGAGCUACAACUGGGUCUGGAAUUAUAGCUGCUAGCUUAGCACGGGAGACAUCCUGAAAAUGCAGAACAGAAGAAUCCUAAACCUGAAAAAGGGGCUUGAAUAUAAUUGUGCAGUUCUACAAUCUUGAGGAUACACUGUGAAUAACUGGGUUAAAAUCACAGAAAGAGAACCAAGAGGGUAAGUAAGAACGUGACGGUACAGACCGUUAACCAUUCGACAAGGAAAGCUGCAAGGCUCUAGAGAUAUGGAAUCCCAAACCCUUACCCUCGCCCUGCUCAAGAAUGGUCAGACCCCGUGCUACCGGGUAGGUAGGACAGUUGUAGGACAGAGACCAGCUUUUUUGAGUAAAUAUCUAAGAUUGGGCACCUGAUAGACACUGGGGCCAUUUGAAAAACUUUACAAUUUUAGACAUUUUUUUCUGACACUUCCCUUCCACUAGAAGUGAACAAUAUCGGUUUAACUGAAGCCGAGUUAGGUGAAGUCCCUCUUCAUGAAAGCUAAACUAAUCACUUAUACUAGUUAAUAUGAUUCUGUUAACUAAAUUAUUCCCAACAUAUUGUUACAGGAAAUAGGGAUAUAGAGUGAGCAGCCACUGUUUGUCCAGACAUUUUUUAGCCAUUUAUUCCUUCUUCGAUGAGGCAAAUAGUAACCUCUCCAUUUUCUAGAAGGGACUGAAGCUCAGAGUUCUGAUAUUUCCAAGGUCACAGAACUAAAAGGCAGAGAGGACUGGGAGCACGGGCCUCUGACCACAAACCCAUUCACCAUCCUCUUUUUAGUUUAUCAGCAGUGCCCCACCAGGGCUGAGAACAGUUCUCCAGGACAGGUCGAAAGGGACAGUGUGGCCACCUAUCUAUCAACAGAUCCUAUCCCAGAGAAGUUCCUCUGCUACAGGCGCUGGUGUCAGUCUACCUGCCCAGAACCAAAAGAGUCCCUUAUGCCAUCAUUGCAUUUCACGUCCUCAAAAUUUGCUCGUAUGCAGUGGGUGGCAGAUCUAAAUGAGCAGGCCCAUGGAGAAUGGCCUUUUUUCUCUUCCCCUCUCACAUUAUAUACACACAGAAGUAUAUAUAAUUCUCUCUCAAAAAUAGAUGAAAUAUGAAUAUUUAAAAACAGUUCUACUUGGAAAUAGUAAGAGCUCUAUUAAUUUCCAUUUCAUCUUGGUGAGGUUGAAAUAGUCCUUGCUAGUAACUUCACUUAAAGGUCUUUUGCUUUUCAUUGAGAAGUAAACUACAAGCUGAACUUAAUGAACCCUGAGCAGUCACCCCUAGUUACAGACUGGGACUUCCAUUAAUGAAUAGGUCUGAAGCUCAAUUAUGGGAAUUUUCCUCAAACAUUUAAAUCUAGUUCACAUGCCAGACAAGGGAGACCCAGGCCAGAAGAGGCUGGUGAAGAGAAUGAUGGCCAAAGCAUCCUAAUGUUGAUUGGCUUCAAGGGACCAAUCUAGGAUUUUGUGGAUAUAGUUUCUCUUCAGAUUUUCAUUGUUUUCAUGACACAGGAAAACAAAACAAAAGAAUAAUUUACCCCUAGCCUGAACAGGUUCAGGGUUCAGAUUUCUUAAGACUCAGUUGUCUAUAUAAAGGAGUUCUGUUGCUAGAUAAGCUAAUUUCCUCAAGAGCCCCCGCAGUACUGCUUUAAGAUACAAACCUCUCCAGGAGCUACAUUUGGCUUAAGAUCUAUCAAAACACGUUUAAUAGUUUUAAGAACUUUUAGCAAAAACAAAAUACCUAAAAUGACAAUUUUUCUUCCUUCCACAAUACCUUCACAUGCCCACCAGAUAGAAGAUACAGGACACCAACGAUUUCAGGGAAAGGCUAAAAGUGUUAGUUAACUCUCACUCUAAUUCUCAUUUUGUUCAGUACUUUUGAUAUGCAAUGUUUCAUGAACUCAAAAAAUUCCUGAACUUUUCCGGUUUUCUGAAAAUCUAUUCUAAAACUAAUUUCUAUUUCAGAAUUUGCUUUAGAGGGAUGUGUAUCCUUGAACUAUUCUAAAACAUAAGAGGAGGAACGCUACACACAUCUUGAUCCUAAGUACAUACCUUAUAACCAAGCGCUUUUAGUUCACUUGCAGAGCAAGGAUAUAAGUCCAUGAACUUGUAUCUGUCCACCAGUAAAGCUGUUUCUUUGCCUUCAUACUCUUCUUUGAAUGCUGUAAACCGUCUUUUCUCCACUUUGAGUAUGCUAGCUAGAUCACCAAUAUUACUUUCGAAAGCUAGAAAUCGAGCCCAGAUUUCUCUGUAAUAAAUAUAAUCAGUACUUAAUUAUUCUCGGUUUGGAACAGGAAGUCCAUUUCCAAAAACCUCAAGUUCCCUCCUCCCUUUAUUUAAUUAUAAAAAGCUUUUUUUUUUUUUUUAAUAAAUGAAGAUUUCCAAAUUACAGGACAGUAUAACAAAUAUUUAGAGAUCAUCAUCAUCAUUACCUAGAUUUAAUCAUCGUCCAUGUAUUUUGCCAUAUUUGCCUCAUCUUGCUUUUGCUUAAGAUUUGAAAAAUUAUAGAUAUAAUCCUUCACCCUGCACACUUGUGUAUUUAAGCCAUUUUUGACAUUUUAUUUAGCACAUCUUCCUAUCAGAUUGUGGCAACAGACAUAUUUACCUUAAAGAGGGGUAAACUCUAAGUAGAAGAGCUGAAAAAGGAAUAUACAGACUUCCAGUUUGUCCUGAAUAAUGUGGCUUCCCCAUUUUGUCUAGUGGCAUGAGAUCACAAUUCAAGUAUUAAAGCUGCUAUCAGAACCCAGCCAACAAGUUUUCUCAACAGCUUACCCAGACUUCUCAGGAGGAAGGCUUCCAGAGGUUAAGACUCGUUCAAACAAAACUCGGGUAUUAUUGUCCUCUAGGAUAUUAAAAAGAUUUUAAGUAUUGAAAAAUUAGGUUUUACUAUCAACAGUGUAUUUACACAGGCAUCUCUAAUUCUGACAAAAAUCCUAUGCAAAAAGGUAACUAUUUCCCCAAUUUUUAUAGAGGAGUUAACCUAUAAAACAACUGGGGUUCAAAACAAUUGAGAUGAUCUGGCUCACUGUUAUUAAAAGCUGGAACUAGAAGCCAGGUCUUCUUACCUGUAGUUCAGCCUGCCUUCUGUGUACUGCAGUUAUAAUGUCAGACCAUUUCCAACAGUGUGAUAUCUGAGCAAGGCACCCCACUGGCCUUUAAAAAAUAAUAUAUCUGCUGACAUUGGGUCAGAUGAUCGAUAUAUUUUAAAUAUAUGGAAUGUGAUGGAUAGCAAGCUCAAAUUUAUAUAUAAGUGAUUUUCUUACUUUGCAGCACCAGAACGACUCUCUAAAUAACUACUUUAAAUUCUCAUAUAGGUACAAUUAAAGUUGAAAUCUUGGUAGGUCCUCUGUAGCUGGAAGUGGGAAAUAACACUUCUUCCUAAGGGAACUAUUAAAAUUUAGCAAUUACUAACAAUCACUGAACUGUAUAUUUAAAAUGGAUACAUUUAUGGUAUGUAAAUAUCUCAAUAAAGUUGUGUUAAAAAAUCCA